UACGUAGGGGGCUAGCGUUGUCCGGAAUCAUUGGGCGUAAAGCGCGUGUAGGCGGUCCGGUAAGUCCGCUGUGAAAGUCGGGGGCUCAACCCUCGGAUGCCGGUGGAUACUGUCGGGCUUGAGUACGGAAGAGGCGAGUGGAAUUCCGUGGUGUAGCGGUGAAAUGCGCAGAUAUCAGGAGGAACACCAAUUGCGAAGGCAGCUCGCUGGGACGUUACUGACGCUGAGACGCGAAAGCGUGGGGAGCAAACAGG
RNAcentral lists this ribosomal RNA (254 nucleotides) under uncultured bacterium. RNAcentral's name for it is "partial 16S ribosomal RNA". It matches the Rfam family "Bacterial small subunit ribosomal RNA", at positions 524 to 776 of the family's 1533-position model. The record is from RNAcentral.